GAUGAACGCUGGCGGCGUGCCUAAUACAUGCAAGUCGAGCGAAUGGAUUAAGAGCUUGCUCUUAUGAAGUUAGCGGCGGACGGGUGAGUAACACGUGGGUAACCUGCCCAUAAGACUGGGAUAACUACGGCAAAACGGGGCUAAUACCGGAUAACAUUUUGAACGGCAUGGUUCGAAAUUGACAGGCGGCUUCGGCUGUCACUUAUGGAUGGACCCGCGGCGCAUUAGCUAGUUGGUGAGGUAACGGCUCACCAAGGGAACGAUGCGUAGCCGACCUGAGAGGGUGAUCGGCCACACUGGGACUGAGACACGGCCCAGACUCCUACGGGAGGCAGCAGUAGGGAAUCUUCCGCAAUGGACGAAAGUCUGACGGAGCAACGCCGCGUGAGUGAUGAAGGCUUUCGGGUCGUAAAACUCUGUUGUUAGGGAAGAACAAGUGCUAGUUGAAUAAGCUGGCACCUUGACGGUACCUAACCAGAAAGCCACGGCUAACUACGUGCCAGCCGCCGCCGUAA
Molecule: ribosomal RNA, 515 nt
Filed under: uncultured bacterium
Lineage: Bacteria
Description: partial 16S ribosomal RNA
Rfam family: Bacterial small subunit ribosomal RNA
Source: RNAcentral